AGGCCACUGCUAUCGGAGUUCGAUUAAGCCAUGCGAGUCGAGAGGUGCAAGACCUCGGCAUACUGCUCAGUAACACGUGGACAACCUACCCUAUGGAGGGGGAUAACCCCGGGAAACUGGGGAUAAUACCCCAUAGACUAUGAAUGCUGGAAUGCUUUGUAGUUGAAAGGUCCGCCGCCAUAGGAUGGGUCUGCGGCCGAUUAGGUUGUUGUUGGGGUAACGGCCCAACAAGCCUGUAAUCGGUACGGGUUGUGGGAGCAAGAGCCCGGAGAUGGAUUCUGAGACACGAAUCCAGGCCCUACGGGGCGCAGCAGGCGCGAAAACUUUACAAUGCGGGAAACCGUGAUAAGGGAACUCCGAGUGCCCGUAAAAUCGGGCUGUCCAUCUGUUUAAAUAACAGGUGAAGAAAGGGCCGGGCAAGACCGGUGCCAGCCGCCGCGGUAAUACCGGCGGCUCGAGUGGUGGCCACUAUUACUGGGCUUAAAGCGUUCGUAGCUGGUCUGUUAAGUCUCUGGGGAAAUCUACUGGCUUAACCAAUAGGCGUCUCAGGGAUACUGGCAGACUAGGGACCGGGAGAGGUGAGAGGUACUCCAGGGGUAGGAGUGAAAUCCUGUAAUCCUUGGGGGACCACCUGUGGCGAAGGCGUCUCACCAGAACGGCUCCGACAGUGAGGGACGAAAGCUGGGGGAGCAAACCGGAUUAGAUACCCGGGUAGUCCCAGCUGUAAACGAUGCGCGUUAGGUGUAUCGGUGACCACGAGUCAUCGAGGUGCCGAAGAGAAAUCGUGAAACGUGCCGCCU
Molecule: ribosomal RNA, 800 nt
Filed under: uncultured archaeon
Lineage: Archaea
Description: bacterial SSU rRNA
Rfam family: Archaeal small subunit ribosomal RNA
Source: RNAcentral